GACGAACGCUGGCGGCGUGCUUAACACAUGCAAGUCGAACGGAAAGGCCUUUUCGGCGGUACUCGAGUGGCGAACGGGUGAGUAACACGUGGGUGAUCUGCCCUGCACUCUGGGAUAAGCCUGGGAAACUGGGUCUAAUACCGGAUAGGACCGCACUUUAGUGUGUGUGGUGGAAAGUUUUUUCGGUGUAGGAUGAGCCCGCGGCCUAUCAGCUUGUUGGUGGGGUAAUGGCCUACCAAGGCGGCGACGGGUAGCCGGACUGAGAGGUUGGUCGGCCACAUUGGGACUGAGAUACGGCCCAGACUCCUACGGGAGGCGGCAGUGGGGAAUAUUGCACAAUGGGCGCAAGCCUGAUGCAGCGACGCCGCGUGGGGGAUGACGGCCUUCGGGUUGUAAACUCCUUUCGCCAGGGACGAAGCGUUUUGUGACGGUACCUGGAGAAGAAGCACCGGCUAACUACGUG
RNAcentral lists this ribosomal RNA (463 nucleotides) under uncultured bacterium. RNAcentral describes it as "partial 16S ribosomal RNA". It matches the Rfam family "Bacterial small subunit ribosomal RNA", at positions 28 to 507 of the family's 1533-position model. The record is from RNAcentral.